AUUGAACGCUGGCGGCAUGCCUUACACAUGCAAGUCGAACGGCAGCACGGGGGCAACCCUGAUGGCGAGUGGCGAACGGGUGAGUAACAUAUCGGAACGUGCCCUGGAGUGGGGGAUAACGCAGCGAAAGUUGCGCUAAUACCGCCUACGAUCCAAGGAUGAAAGCGGGGGAUCGCAAGACCUUCCGCUCGUGGAGCGGCCGAUAUCUGAUUAGGUAGUUGGCGGGGUAAGAGCCCACCAAGGCGACGAUCAGUAGCUGGUCUGAGAGGACGACCAGCCACACUGGGACUGAGACACGGCCCAGACUCCUACGGGAGGCAGCAGUGGGGAAUUUUGGACAAUGGGGGCAACCCUGAUCCAGCAAUGCCGCGUGAGUGAAGAAGGCCUUCGGGUUGUAAAGCUCUUUUGUCGGGGAAGAAACGGUCCGUGCUAAUACCAUGGAUUAAUGACGGUACCCGAAGAAUAAGCACCGGCUAACUACGUGCCAGCAGCCGCCGUAA
This 500-nucleotide ribosomal RNA is filed under the name uncultured bacterium. Its description in RNAcentral is "partial 16S ribosomal RNA". It matches the Rfam family "Bacterial small subunit ribosomal RNA", at positions 29 to 523 of the family's 1533-position model. The record is from RNAcentral.